CAGCCCGGUGACCUGACAUUUGGAGGGUUUGAUGGGCUUCGGCCCAGUGCAGUUCCAACUUUGCAUUCCAGUGGGCGGCAGUGGAGAAUGGGGUGGUAAACAAGGGUCGCUGCUUUUUUCUCUCGCCUUUAUCCACUUGAAGGAACUUGGGUUUAGCCCCCCUUUGUCCUCAUUCUCUCUUUACUUCUGUGGUGUUUCCAAAUGCCCUUUGUCCUCACCCUGCCCCCAACUUUCAGGCUUGUUGUUGUUGUUGUUUUGUUCCUGCGUGCAGACAUACUCGCAGAGGGUGGACCUUAAUGUGGGGAGAUUGAGCGUUCCCCACUUUAGGGAGACGAAAUUGGAACCUUUCGCUCAGGUGGCUAACUCACUAGCAAAGGGGUGGUCUCACGGAUUGCAGGUGUCAUCGCAGGCGCAUAUUAAAUUUCCUAUUGACUACCCAUAUUCACCACCUACCUUCAGAUUCUUGACCAAAAUGUGGCACCCCAACAUUUAUGAGAAUGGAGAUGUAUGCAUUUCAAUUCUUCAUCCACCCGUAGAUGCCCCACAGAGUGGUGAACUGCCCUCCGAAAGGUGGAAUCCUACUCAGAAUGUCAGGAAAAGGUUUCAUCAAAUCAAACAUCUAAUUGCCUGGUCCCCUCUCUUUAUUUUUUGCUUGGGGCCAGGAGCAAAAGGCUAUUUUGCAACAACACAAUGUAUAACCUCGCACCAAUGAGAAAAGGACUAUCCUGUUAAGUGUAAUCUCAUUGCUUAAUGAGCCCAACACCUUCUCCCCAGCCAAUGUGGAUGCUUCAGUUAUGUUCAGGAAAUGGAGGGACAGUAAAGGAAAAGACAAAGAAUAUGCUGAAAUCAUUAGGGUUGAAGCCUGAUGUUCAAGGAAAGGACGGAUUUAGUAAGUGAAGAAUCCAGAGGUAUUUGUAUUCUUCCUGAUUCUUACUUUGAGUUUCUUUAUGUCAUUCUUAUAUUCUUUCAACAUAUUUUAUGCACCUGCAUUGUGUCAGUUACACUGCUAGGUCAUUAAGCUGUAGUCUUUCUCCCUGGGGAGCUCACUUUACUUAGCAAACAAAUGAGUGCAACUGUAGAAGCUUAAACAAGAUACACUGGAAGGAAUAUAUAAUACUAUGGAGUCCCUAGAAGAUAAUGCCUCAUAAAUAAGAAUUUUCCAGUAAAAGGGCAAAGAAAAAGCCUCUUCAGGGAGAGAAACAUGUUUGCUAAAACAGAGGUGUGUAACAGCAUGGCAUGUCAAGAGAAUUGUAAGUAGCUUUACAUUGCUUGAAUAUAAAUUCUGAUUUGGGAAAUUAAGAGGCAUCAAUCAGGUCUUAAAAGACAUUGAUGUGCCCUAGCCUAUUUGGCUCAGUGGAUUGAGCAUCAGCCUACAGACUGAAGGGUCCCGGGUUCAAUUCCAGU
Myotis brandtii (Brandt's bat) is the source of this 1404-nucleotide RNA transcript. It is a transcript of the gene named ubiquitin-conjugating enzyme E2R 2, with no coding region annotated. The transcript is spliced from 6 exons. The record is from RefSeq and is a predicted model, not a curated record. NCBI's taxonomy places the organism in Eukaryota, Metazoa, Chordata, Mammalia, Chiroptera, Vespertilionidae.